This 413-nucleotide ribosomal RNA is filed under the name uncultured eukaryote. RNAcentral's name for it is "SSU rRNA". It matches the Rfam family "Eukaryotic small subunit ribosomal RNA", at positions 567 to 990 of the family's 1831-position model. The record is from RNAcentral.
CCAGCAGCUGCGGUAAUUCCAGCUCUAAUAGCGUAUAUUAAAGUUGUUGCAGUUAAAAAGCUCGUAGUCGGAUGUCGGGCUCGGGGAGGCUGUCGGCCUUUGGUCGGAUGGCAUGUCCGGGCCUUUCUGCCUGGGGAUCCUACUCUACUUAACUGUAGGGUAGUGGGACGCAGGCCGUUUACUUUGAAAAAAUUAGAGUGUUCAAAGCAGGCCUACGCUUGAAUACAUUAGCAUGGAAUAAUGGAAUAGGACUUUGGUUCUAUUUUGUUGGUUCUAGGACCGAAGUAAUGAUUAAUAGGGAUAGUUGGGGGCAUUCGUAUUUAAUUGUCAGAGGUGAAAUUCUUGGAUUUAUGAAAGACGAACAUCUGCGAAAGCAUUUGCCAAGUAUGUUUUCAUUGAUCAAGAGCGAAAGU